AGUGAGAUUAUUGGCCUAAGUCACCAU
RNAcentral lists this non-coding RNA (27 nucleotides) under Rattus norvegicus (Norway rat). The record is from RNAcentral. Lineage: Eukaryota; Metazoa; Chordata; Mammalia; Rodentia; Muridae.